GACGUAGGGCGCAAGCGUUGUCCGGAUUUAUUGGGCGUAAAGAGCUCGUAGGCGGCCUGUCGCGUCGACCGUGAAAACCCGCAGCUCAACUGCGGGCUUGCGGUCGAUACGGGCAGGCUGGGGUUCGGUAGGGGAGACUGGAAUUCCUGGUGUAGCGGUGAAGUGCGCAGAUAUCAGGAGGAACACCCGUGGCGAAAGCGGCUCUCUGGAACGGUACUGACGCUGAGACGCGAAAGCGUGGGGAGCGAACAGG
This 253-nucleotide ribosomal RNA is filed under the name uncultured bacterium. RNAcentral's name for it is "partial 16S ribosomal RNA". It matches the Rfam family "Bacterial small subunit ribosomal RNA", at positions 524 to 776 of the family's 1533-position model. The record is from RNAcentral.